GAUGAACGCUGGCGGCGUGCCUAAUACAUGCAAGUCGAGCGAACGGACGAGAAGCUUGCUUCUCUGAUGUUAGCGGCGGACGGGUGAGUAACACGUGGAUAACCUACCUAUAAGACUGGGAUAACUUCGGGAAACCGGAGCUAAUACCGGAUAAUAUUUUGAACCGCAUGGUUCAAAAGUGAAAGACGGUCUUGCUGUCACUUAUAGAUGGAUCCGCGCUGCAUUAGCUAGUUGGUAAGGUAACGGCUUACCAAGGCAACGAUGCAUAGCCGACCUGAGAGGGUGAUCGGCCACACUGGAACUGAGACACGGUCCAGACUCCUACGGGAGGCAGCAGUAGGGAAUCUUCCGCAAUGGGUGAAAGCCUGACGGAGCAACGCCGCGUGAGUGAUGAAGGUCUUCGGAUCGUAAAACUCUGUUAUUAGGGAAGAACAUAUGUGUAAGUAACUGUGCACAUCUUGACGGUACCUAAUCAGAAAGCCACGGCUAACUACGUGCCAGCAGCCGCGGUAAUACGUAGGUGGCAAGCGUUAUCCGGAAUUAUUGGGCGUAAAGCGCGCGUAGGCGGUUUUUUAAGUCUGAUGUGAAAGCCCACGGCUCAACCGUGGAGGGUCAUUGGAAACUGGAAAACUUGAGUGCAGAAGAGGAAAGUGGAAUUCCAUGUGUAGCGGUGAAAUGCGCAGAGAUAUGGAGGAACACCAGUGGCGAAGGCGACUUUCUGGUCUGUAACUGACGCUGAUGUGCGAAAGCGUGGGGAUCAAACAGGAUUAGAUACCCUGGUAGUCCACGCCGUAAACGAUGAGUGCUAAGUGUUAGGGGGUUUCCGCCCCUUAGUGCUGCAGCUAACGCAUUAAGCACUCCGCCUGGGGAGUACGACCGCAAGGUGAAACUCAAAGGAAUUGACGGGGACCCGCACAAGCGGUGGAGCAUGUGGUUUAAUUCGAAGCAACGCGAAGAACCUUACCAAAUCUUGACAUCCUUUGACAACUCUAGAGAUAGAGCCUUCCCCUUCGGGGGACAAAGUGACAGGUGGUGCAUGGUUGUCGUCAGCUCGUGUCGUGAGAUGUUGGGUUAAGUCCCGCAACGAGCGCAACCCUUAAGCUUAGUUGCCAUCAUUAAGUUGGGCACUCUAAGUUGACUGCCGGUGACAAACCGGAGGAAGGUGGGGAUGACGUCAAAUCAUCAUGCCCCUUAUGAUUUGGGCUACACACGUGCUACAAUGGACAAUACAAAGGGCAGCGAAACCGCGAGGUCAAGCAAAUCCCAUAAAGUUGUUCUCAGUUCGGAUUGUAGUCUGCAACUCGACUACAUGAAGCUGGAAUCGCUAGUAAUCGUAGAUCAGCAUGCUACGGUGAAUACGUUCCCGGGUCU
This 1371-nucleotide ribosomal RNA is filed under the name uncultured bacterium. RNAcentral describes it as "bacterial SSU rRNA". It matches the Rfam family "Bacterial small subunit ribosomal RNA", at positions 28 to 1381 of the family's 1533-position model. The record is from RNAcentral.